UUAAUGCUAAUCGUGAUAGGGGUUUUUACCUCUGACUGACUCCUACAUGUUAGCAUUA
Balaenoptera musculus (blue whale) is the source of this 58-nucleotide microRNA precursor. NCBI's taxonomy places the organism in Eukaryota, Metazoa, Chordata, Mammalia, Artiodactyla, Balaenopteridae. The record is from Ensembl.